This is a non-coding RNA of Salvelinus sp. IW2-2015, 109 nucleotides long. Lineage: Eukaryota; Metazoa; Chordata; Actinopteri; Salmoniformes; Salmonidae. The record is from RefSeq and is a predicted model, not a curated record.
GGUAGGUGUAGUAGUAGACCAGGGUACUAACUUGUAGUAACAUUGGUAGGUGUAGUAGACCAGGGUACUAACCUGUAGUAACAUUGGUAGGUGUAGUAGUAGACCAGGG